RNAcentral lists this ribosomal RNA (231 nucleotides) under uncultured bacterium. RNAcentral's name for it is "partial 16S ribosomal RNA". It matches the Rfam family "Bacterial small subunit ribosomal RNA", at positions 333 to 560 of the family's 1533-position model. The record is from RNAcentral.
AGAACCCUACGGGGGGCAGCAGUGAGGAAUAUUGGUCAAUGGGCGAGAGCCUGAACCAGCCAAGUCGCGUGAAGGAUGACGGCCCUACGGGUUGUAAACUUCUUUUGUCAGGGAGCAAUUGGGUCCACGCGUGGGCUUAGCGAGAGUACCUGAAGAAAAAGCAUCGGCUAACUCCGUGCCAGCAGCCGCGGUAAUACGGAGGAUGCGAGCUUUAUCCGGAUUUAUUGGGUU